Meriones unguiculatus (Mongolian gerbil) is the source of this 1092-nucleotide long non-coding RNA. RefSeq lists it as uncharacterized. NCBI's taxonomy places the organism in Eukaryota, Metazoa, Chordata, Mammalia, Rodentia, Muridae. The record is from RefSeq and is a predicted model, not a curated record. The transcript has 2 exons.
CUGCGCGCUUUUCUAAAUCGGAAAAACCUGUCUGCAGCAGACCUUGGAGAGGUAGUUACGCCUGCGGCACAGGCAUACACAGGCUGCUGUGGACAUCGCCUGUCUUUGCAUAAGGGUUGCCAAAAGAUAAAAAAUAAAAAUGUGGAACCACAUCUUAAAGGACCAGGAAGCAAAGAAGGGGGACUCUUGGAGGAAAGGAAAAGGAGUAGAUUUCGGAGGAGUCUGCGUCCUCUCAAGGCAUCGUCAAGAACUGGGAAAAGCUUGCAGUGAACCCAUCUCCCCAGGCAAGGCAGUGUAGCUGCCCCCGGAGAACCUGGAAACAAGCAGCAGAGCACAUAUUCAAGGAUGGCGACCCUUUCUUUACAUUUAUUUAUCUUUUAUGUUUGGGUGUUUUGCCUGCCUGUAGCACAGCACUUUUGCUCGUGGUGAGAUGAGGGGUCUGGGUUUCCUUGAACUGGAGUUACUGAGAGCUGUGAAUCCUCAUGUAGGCACUGGGAAAUGAACCCUGUUCCACAGGAAAAACAGGCAGCGCUUUAGGAGCCUUACCUAUCUCCCCUGCAUCCCCCGCCCCCACCCCAAGCACACACUUGUGUGUGUGUGACAGGGCACUUCUAUGCACCUCUGGCUGGCCCGGACCUCUUUCUUCUCCACGUUGUUUGGGGUCAGUGUUUCCUCAUUCAGCAGCAGAAGCGAGCGAACAGCUGGGCUGCUGAGUGCUCCACUCCCUCAUAAAGGUUCUCAGCAGCUAGUUCUUGCUUUACCAACCCUAAAUAUAAGCGGCUGACUUUCCUCCCGUGAAAGCUGAGGGAGUGGCUUGCUUUAUAACUAUCUCUUCCUUUGCUACUGCUGUCAGGUUUUAUUUGUAACUUUAGAGAAAAGCUUCUGUUGGAGGAGAAAGAAAAUCCUCCAUAAAUGUUAUAAAAUGUUUAGAAUAAUGACUUGAGGUAAUUUAAAUGUCUUAUAAAUUUUAAGAGAAAAAAAUCCUCUGGGAAAGUAAACAGGGUAAGAUUAGAAAUAUUCUUAUUUAAAAUAUUGUUAUGUCUGCUGUCAUUCACCACAGGGACAGUCAUUAAAUGUUGUCUUUUUAAGUCA